GAUGAACGCUGGCGGCGUGCCUAAUACAUGCAAGUCGAGCGAACAGACGAGGCGCUUGCUCCUCUGACGUUAGCGGCGGACGGGUGAGUCACAUGUGUAUAACCUACCUAUAAGACUGGGAUAACUUCGGGACACCGGCUCUAAUACCGGAUAAUAUAUUGCACCGCAUGGUUCAAUAGUGAAAGACGGCUUUGCUGUCACUUAUCGAUGGUUCCGGGCCGCAUUAGCUAGUUGGUACGGUAACGGCCUACCAAGGCAACGAUGCGUAGGCGACCUGACAGGCUGGUCGCCGACACUGGAGCUGGGCCAGGGUCAAGAGUACUGCGGGAGGCAGCAGUAGGGAAUCUGACGCAGUGGGGGAAAGCCUGACGGAGCGAGGCCGCGUGAGUGAUGAAGGUCUUGCGAGCGGAAAACUGUGUUAUGAGGGGAGAACAAAUGUGGAAGUAACUGUGGACGGCUUGACGGUACCGAAUCAGGAAGCCACGGCUAACUACGUG
RNAcentral lists this ribosomal RNA (497 nucleotides) under uncultured bacterium. RNAcentral's name for it is "partial 16S ribosomal RNA". It matches the Rfam family "Bacterial small subunit ribosomal RNA", at positions 28 to 507 of the family's 1533-position model. The record is from RNAcentral.